CCUACGGGUGGCAGCAGUGAGGAAUAUUGGUCAAUGGGCUUACGCCUGAACCAGCCAAGUCGCGUGAGGGAAGACUGCCCUAUGGGUUGUAAACCUCUUUUGUCAGGGAGCAAUUGGCGCUACGUGUAGCGUCAUCGAGCGAACCUGAAGGAAACACAUCGGCUAACUCCGUCCCAGCAGCCGCGGUAGUACGGAGGAUGCGAGCGUUAUCCGGAUUUAUUGUGUUUAAAGGGUGCGUAGGCGGAAUGCCAAGUCAGCGGUAAAAUCGCGGGGCUCAACCUCGCUCCGCCGUUGAUACUGGCGUUCUUGAGUGGGCGAGAAGGAUGCGGAAUGCGUGGUGUAGCGGUGAAAUGCAUAGAUAUCACGCAGAACUCCGAUUGCGAAGGCAGCAUACCGGCGCCCAACUGACGCUGAAGCACGAAAGCGUGGGUAUCGAACAGGAUUAGAUACCCGGGUAGUC
RNAcentral lists this ribosomal RNA (460 nucleotides) under uncultured bacterium. RNAcentral describes it as "partial 16S ribosomal RNA". It matches the Rfam family "Bacterial small subunit ribosomal RNA", at positions 338 to 795 of the family's 1533-position model. The record is from RNAcentral.